This 497-nucleotide ribosomal RNA is filed under the name uncultured bacterium. RNAcentral's name for it is "partial 16S ribosomal RNA". It matches the Rfam family "Bacterial small subunit ribosomal RNA", at positions 28 to 507 of the family's 1533-position model. The record is from RNAcentral.
GAUGAACGCUGGCGGCGUGCCUAAUACAUGCAAGUCGAGCGAACAGAUGAGGAGCUUGCUCCUCUGACGUUAGCGGCGGACGGGUGAGUAACACGUGGAUAACCUACCUAUAAGACUGGGAUAACUUCGGGAAACCGGAGCUAAUACCGGAUAAUAUAUUGAACCGCAUGGUUCAAUAGUGAAAGACGGUUUUGCUGUCACUUAUAGAUGGAUCCGCGCCGCAUUAGCUAGUUGGUAAGGUAACGGCUUACCAAGGCAACGAUGCGUAGCCGACCUGAGAGGGUGAUCGGCGACACUGGAGCUGAGACACGGUCCAGGCGCCUACGGGAGGCAGCAGUAGGGAAUCUUCCGCAAUGGGCGAAAGCCUGACGGAGCAACGCCGCGUGAGUGAUGAAGGUCUUCGGAUCGUAAAACUCUGUUAUUAGGGAAGAACAAAUGUGUAAGUAACUAUGCACGUCUUGACGGUACCUAAUCAGAAAGCCACGGCUAACUACGUG